This 28-nucleotide non-coding RNA is filed under the name Mus musculus (house mouse). The record is from RNAcentral. Lineage: Eukaryota; Metazoa; Chordata; Mammalia; Rodentia; Muridae.
UUAUAUUGUGGUGAGCCAGACAAAAUUA